AGAAUAAUGUUAAAACACAGCCGAUAUGAAUCUGCUGGGGGAAAUUGGAUAUCUAAAAAUAUUGUUGCCGUGGCAACAUGUCAAACUGGAAUACUUCUCAGGUGAUUUUGAGGCAUAUAACAUGCUUAGAAUUUCAUCAAACUCAGAACACAUAUCAGUAUUAGUGACAGCUAGACACUGGCAAAAUUUCAUAAGAGGGCGUGGAAGAGGCACUCUAUAGCGCCACCUUUUGUCAAAAGUGGGGGGGUUAGUUUUAGCUACAGACACCAAACUCAGUACAAAAAUUGUUCUUAUCAAGACGGACAACUUUCUAAUUCACAGUCAUCAGCUACGACCAACAGGAAGUCGGCUAUUUUGAUUUGAAUGUGGAUUGUUUUUUACAUUUCGCUGUGAAUUAAUGCAUACUGCUCAGAGGAGAGUAACACUAUAAACACCAAACUUGGUGUACAUGUUGAAAAAACAUUGAGGAACUUAAAUUGUGAAUGGGUUUUGGAUAGCUUGGAUGGUUUUGUCGUGGGGAUUUUUUAAAAUGACAAUAAAGAUGGAAUUAUUAAUUUUCCUGCAUUUUUAAAUUCCAAACACUUCAAAACCUUUUUUCAUAAAGAAAAAAAGUUAUUCUGAGUAAAUAUGCAUAGUUUCAUGACUUUACAACACUGUAUGGAUAACAGAAAAUUAAAAAACUGUCAGACAUCUCAUCUCACUCUGUCCAUCUGUUUGAGUGUGUGUGCUUAGACUUCCAUUGUCUGAGAGAAAUAGCGCCCCUACAGGUUCAGUUACCGGACUAAAAAAGGGAGGAGACUGUCUUUUGGUUUCGAUUUUAAAUCGGUUAAAAUACAAAUAAAUACUUGGAUUUAAUUCACAGUGACAAGCUAAACCAACAUAUAUGAUUAUUAUCAGGUCAGGGCUCAUUAAUAAUUGAUGUGUGGUCAGUGAUACGUGAGAAACACGAGAGAUGAAUCACCGCUCUGAGCAGGAGCGUGUGGAAUGAUGAGCUCAGAAAAAACGAGUUUAUUCUUGUUUUAUAGCUAUUAAAAAUAAAGUAUUGCAGCGAUAUCACACAAUUCACCAAUUAGAGCACACCAAGAGCUAAAUUAAGAUGUUUUUGAACUGUUUGUGUGAAAAUGAAAUAUUUGCGGCUGCCUACUGAAAUCACUGCCUCCGAUCAGCGCGCACAGUGUCUCAGAGCUCAAAACAAACGAAUUUAUUCUUGUUUAAGAGCUUUUUAAAAUAAAUUAUUGCCAUAAAUGCACACAAUACAUCCAUUAUAACACAACACGAGCUAAAUGCAGGUGUUUGUGACCCGUUUAAGUGUGCAAGACUAUUUGAAAGCGCGACUGGCAGAAUAACAUAUAUCUCUCGAGCUGCAGGAUUCUGCCUUUCGUCGUAAGAACGAACACAUCACGGACAAGAUUAUUUCAAAAUACAUAAUAGCUUGGCUAAUAUAAACAAAAACAGCCACGUGAACAUAAACUGUUGAG
Molecule: long non-coding RNA, 1478 nt
Organism: Carassius gibelio (silver crucian carp)
Lineage: Eukaryota; Metazoa; Chordata; Actinopteri; Cypriniformes; Cyprinidae
Exons: 3
Source: RefSeq, a predicted model, not a curated record